UGGGCUGGUCGAGAGACCCAGGUCCAUCUGCGGCGGGGAAGUUCCCC
rumen bacterium is the source of this 47-nucleotide non-coding RNA. The record is from Rfam.